GUUCCUCUAGGCAGAGCUUAUACAAUAGUCACAUCUCCUGGGUUAUCAGGGCAGUGAUAAAUCACAAUGCCCCCAUAGGCAGAGCCUAGACAAGAGUUACAUAACCCGGGUGAUCCGUGCAGAGUAAUGUCACAAUGCCCUCUGUAGGCAGAGCCUAGAAAAGAGUUACAUCACCUGGGUGAUCCGUGCAGAGAUAUCUCACAAUACACCCUGUAAGCAGAGCCUAGAAAAGAGUUACAUCACCUGGGUGAUCAGUGCAGAGAUAUGUCAUAAACCCCACUGUAGGCAAAGCCUAGACAAAUUUUACAUCACCUAAGUGAUCAGUGCAGAGAUAUGUCCCAAUGUCCCUCUAGGCAGAGCUUAGACAAGAGUCACAUCUCCUGGGUGAUCAGUGCAGAGAUAAGUCACACUGCCCCCAUUGGCAGAGCCUAGAGAAGAGUUAUAUGACUGGGGUGAUCCGUGCAGAGUGAUAUCACAACGCCCUCUGUAGCCACAGAGUAGAAAAUAGUUACAUCACCUGGGUGAUCAGUGCAGAGAUAUGUCACAAUGCCCCUGUAGGUAGAGCAUAGAGAACAGUUGCAUCACCUGGGUGAUCAGUGCAGAAAUAUGUGACAAUGCCUCCAGUAGGCAGA
RNAcentral lists this long non-coding RNA (632 nucleotides) under Homo sapiens (human). RNAcentral describes it as "HSALNT0288271". Lineage: Eukaryota; Metazoa; Chordata; Mammalia; Primates; Hominidae. The record is from RNAcentral.